This 280-nucleotide ribosomal RNA is filed under the name uncultured Mycobacterium sp. RNAcentral's name for it is "partial 16S ribosomal RNA". It matches the Rfam family "Bacterial small subunit ribosomal RNA", at positions 572 to 849 of the family's 1533-position model. The record is from RNAcentral. Lineage: Bacteria; Bacillati; Actinomycetota; Actinomycetes; Mycobacteriales; Mycobacteriaceae.
UAGGUGGUUUGUCGCGUUGUCCGUGAAAACUCACAGCUUAACUGUGGGCGUGCGGGCGAUACGGGCAGACUGGAGUACUGCAGGGGAGACUGGAAUUCCUGGUGUAGCGGUGGAAUGCGCAGAUAUCAGGAGGAACACCGGUGGCGAAGGCGGGUCUCUGGGCAGUAACUGACGCUGAGGAGCGAAAGCGUGGGGAGCGAACAGGAUUAGAUACCCUGGUAGUCCACGCCGUAAACGGUGGGUACUAGGUGUGGGUUUCCUUCCUUGGGAUCCGUGCCGU